Molecule: ribosomal RNA, 426 nt
Filed under: uncultured bacterium
Lineage: Bacteria
Description: bacterial SSU rRNA
Rfam family: Bacterial small subunit ribosomal RNA
Source: RNAcentral
UGGGGAAUUUUGUGCAAUGGGCGAAAGCCUGACACAGCGACACCGCGUGAGCGAAGAAGCCCUUUGGGGUGUAAAGCUCUGUCAGCAGGAAAGAACAAAUGACGGUACCUGCAGAGGAAGCAUCGGCUAACUACGUGCCAGCAGCCGCGGUAAGACGUAGGAUGCAAGCGUUGUCCGGAUUUAUUGGGCGUAAAGAGUUCGUAGGUGGUUUGUUAAGUCUGAUGUUAAAGAUCGGGGCUCAACCCUGGGAGUGCAUUGGAUACUGGCAGACUCGAGUAUGGUAGAGGCGAGUGGAAUUCCCAGUGUAGCGGUGAAAUGCGUAGAUAUUGGGAAGAACACCGGUGGCGCAAGCGACUCGCUGGGCCAUUACUGACACUGAGGAACGAAAGCUAGGGGAGCAAAUGGGAUUAGAUACCCCGGUAGUCC